UACGAAGGGGGCGAGCGUUGUUCGGAUUUACUGGGCGUAAAGCGCGUGUAGGCGGAUCGUUAAGUCGGGGGUGGAAGCCCAGAGCUCAACUCUGGAAUUGCCUUCGAUACUGGCGGUCUGGAGCAGAGAAGAGGCGAGUGGAAGUCCGAGUGUAGAGGUGAAAUUCGUAGAUAUUCGGAGGAACACCAGUGGCGAAGGCGGCUCGCUGGUCUCUUGCUGACGCUGAGACGCGAAAGCGUGGGGAGCAAACAGG
Molecule: ribosomal RNA, 253 nt
Filed under: uncultured bacterium
Lineage: Bacteria
Description: partial 16S ribosomal RNA
Rfam family: Bacterial small subunit ribosomal RNA
Source: RNAcentral